CAGCUCCCGUAGGAGUCCGGAUGAAGUCUACCUGCAAUUGAAGUCGGGGAUGAAGUCCGGCUCCCGUAGGAGUCCAGACGAAGUCUAGAAGGUGGUCGAUCAUCGUGAAAACUUGGGUGGAGUCCGUUCGUCGUGAAGAAUCCAAUCGACGCUGGUGGGAGGCUUAUCCGUCGGUAAAACUUGAGAGUGUUGCAGAGGCUUGGCUGCCAGAGAGGUUCGGAGAGAUGCCGUCGAAGGUCGAAAGUCGGU
This 249-nucleotide long non-coding RNA is filed under the name Elaeis guineensis (African oil palm). RNAcentral's name for it is "long non-coding RNA (EGUI_LNC014638)". The record is from RNAcentral. Lineage: Eukaryota; Viridiplantae; Streptophyta; Magnoliopsida; Arecales; Arecaceae.